UGUGAUGAGAGGCCUUCGAUGGGAUAUGUGUAUGAAGGCAUGUAUAGGGUUCGUUUGGGCAUCAAGAAAUUGUUUAACUACAACAAAAGACUAUACAAGCCUUAUACGGAUAUCAUAAAGCAACGUUGGGAUCAACAACUGAAGAAAAGCAUUCAUUCAGCAGCUUAUUGGUUGAAUCCAUGUUUCCAAUAUGAUCAGGAAAACUUUUGUAAUAAGCCAAAUGUUAUUGGAGGUGUCAUGGAUGUUAUUGAUCAGAAAGUUCUGAAAGGCAAGCUUGAAACAAUGAAUGAAAUGAAGUUAUUUCGUGAUCGAUUGGGAAGUUUUGGAAGAAAACUUGCUUAUUCUUCACGUGAAGUACUUCAACCUGAUGAAUGGUGGAGGCUACAUGGAUAUAGUGCACCACAUUUGCAAAAGUUAGCCAUUCUAAUAUUGAGCCAAACCGCAUCGUCUUCUGGAUGUGAGAGGAAUUGGAGUGUCUUUGAACGUAUACAUACCAAAAGAAGGAAUAGAUUGGAACAUCAAAGGCUUAAUGAUCUUGUAUACGUUCAUUAUAAUUUGCGCCUAAAAAAUCGAUAUAAAUGAUUUCUUAGUUGUUUUGAAUUUAAAUUCUUCUAUUCACAAUUAUGAAUAAUUAUAUGUUUUUUUUUUUAGGUUCUAUAACAAGAAAAGAAUCUAUGAUCCAAUUGACUAUGCAUGCAUUGAUGAGACCGAUUUUUGGGUAGUUGAUGAUGAUCAACCAGCAGAGUUAGAUGUUGAAGAAUUGGAAAAUCUUCUAUAUGAAGAAGGGUCAAUUCCAAUAAAUGAAGUGGAAGGUUCAAGUUCUCACAUUGAUAAUGAGGAUGGUGGUGACGUGGCUAUAGAAAGGCUUGAUGUGGAGAACUUUGGUUUUCCAAAUGCUCAUGUUCAAUCUCCAUAUUCCAAUUUCCAAAAUGAAUGAAGACAUGAAUUUUAUAUUUAUUAGUAUGCAAAAAACUUCAUGAAUAUUCAAACAUUGACAUGUUAUAUUUUUAUUUUGAGUAAUUAUUUAAGUGUUGUGGACC
Vitis vinifera (wine grape) is the source of this 1040-nucleotide RNA transcript. RefSeq lists it as uncharacterized. NCBI's taxonomy places the organism in Eukaryota, Viridiplantae, Streptophyta, Magnoliopsida, Vitales, Vitaceae. The record is from RefSeq and is a predicted model, not a curated record. The transcript is spliced from 3 exons.